ACGGAAGGCAGCAGUGGGGAAUAUUGCACAAUGGGCGAAACCCUGAUGCAGCGAUGCCGCGUGGAGGAAGAAGGUUUUCGGAUUGUAAACUCCUGUCUUAAAGGACGAUAAUGACGGUACUUUAGAAGGAAGCUCCGGCUAACUACGUGCCAGCAGCCGCGGUAAUACGUAGGGAGCAAGCGUUAUCCGGAAUUACUGGGUGUAAAGGGAGUGUAGGCGGGACUGUAAGUCAGAUGUGAAAUAUACCGGCUCAACUGGUAGACUGCAUUUGAAACUGCGGUUCUUGAGUGAAGUAGAGGUAAGCGGAAUUCCUAGUGUAGCGGUGAAAUGCGUAGAUAUUAGGAGGAACAUCAGUGGCGAAGGCGGCUUACUGGGCUUUAACUGACGCUGAGGCUCGAAAGCGUGGGGAGCAAACAGGAUUAGAUACCCUGGUA
This 434-nucleotide ribosomal RNA is filed under the name uncultured Ruminococcus sp. RNAcentral describes it as "bacterial SSU rRNA". It matches the Rfam family "Bacterial small subunit ribosomal RNA", at positions 341 to 792 of the family's 1533-position model. The record is from RNAcentral. Lineage: Bacteria; Bacillati; Bacillota; Clostridia; Eubacteriales; Oscillospiraceae.